Long non-coding RNA from Varanus komodoensis (Komodo dragon), 2710 nucleotides. RefSeq lists it as uncharacterized. The transcript is spliced from 2 exons. The record is from RefSeq and is a predicted model, not a curated record. Lineage: Eukaryota; Metazoa; Chordata; Lepidosauria; Squamata; Varanidae.
UCCAUGGGGUUGCGAUGAGUCAAGCACAACUUUGUGACUAAACAACAAAUUAUUACAGGACUGCCCUGCAUGUGGACCUGGUAGCAUUUUGGAGAAAGCCACCUUGGAGUUCCUGUCUUUCACCUGUCCUAGCUAGCAAUGUAAAAUUGGCUUCCAGGACCUGCCAGCUACGUUUUCCCAUGCCACUUGUGCAACAUGGACCACAGCCACUGGCUGCCCCCACACUAUCUCAAGGCUACCAAGAUGGAGCAUGAGAUCUGCAACAUUUGCACGAAGCAGGCAGUUCACCAUGUUUUCACAUGCCCACCACAAACCACAUUUUCUCCAGUGCUGGAUUCCCCCACCACCAGACACCCCCCGCCCCAAAAGGAGGGGCAUCCUCAAAUAUGAGCGUGUAUCUGCCAAGGGUGGCCAGGCUCGCUCAGCCAAAGAGCCACUUACGUUAAGCAUCGGAUGUUGGCGAGCCGCAAGAGCGUGCCCACAGGUGGGCAGCAGGAGGUGGUAAAUGGCAGGCAGGGGCCUGCCAGUGGCAACGGCAAGCAGCGAGCCACACAUUAAAGUCAAAGAGCUGCACGCGGCUCCCAAGUCUCAGUUUGGCCACCCCUGGUAUCUGCUCAUCUCCCAAGGAAUAGGUCCCUUCCAUCACCUUCCUCUUAUGCAGAAGAAGACCCCUUUUCUCGGUGACCACAGGGGAGCUGCCACCCAGGAGUUGGGGCCAACCAGUCGGUCCCUGCGGGGCCCAUCAUCCAGUUUGUCUGCCUUUCUUUGCUUUUCUAGGCCAGCAAUCUUGGCUUAAAGGCCCGAGUGUGUUCCCCAGGAGCCUGGGGCUCAUUGCUCUGAGCGCACACCCAUGACUUCUGUCCAGGGGGCAGAUGGUGACACUCAGCACAAUGCACCGGGCAGCCCCCACAGCCCUGCUUGUUGCCCAGGCAGCGGACAGUGAAAUCCUCGGAGGCAGCAACGUAUUGCACGCUGGACCCAGAUUGCUUGAGUGUGUGUGUGGGCCUUGGCAAAAUGGAACUAGCUGGGUUCAGCUGACAUGCUUGAUUUGUCUCAUCUUCUGCCUAGGUACUCGCAUACAGCACAUGUGCAUCAUGGGAAGUUGCUGCUGGUGGGCGGAGUCUGGCUCCACGCCCCUUCUGUGCCUGGUGUUGCUGUGAUAGAUCUAGCCACAGGCCUCGCCGUGGAGUAUCGCAUUGACACGGCCUCCCUCUCCGGGCCUCUGAUGUUGCACAACCACAGCAGCAUCUUCUUGCCAGAGGAUGAGGAGCUGCUUCUCAUAGGUGGGGGUGGUAACUGCUUCUCCUUUGGAAGCCACUGGAACUGGCCUCCCGUCCGCCUGGCCCUGGGUGGCAUCUGGAACAGACCGUGAGGCCUUGUGGGCCAAGGGGCCUUUGCUGCACGGAGGCAUCGGGGGAGCGGGCACUGAAUGGCUGGAGGAGGAGGAGGAGGCCCCUGCUGCUGCUGGCUGUUGUGCCUGUGCGGUGAAGCAUGUUCCUUUUGCAGAUGCUCUGGAGAAGAAGCCAAUGCUCUGGCAGCCAGAAGGGGUUGAUUAGCUUUCUUUGCCCAGAAUGCCUGUGGGUGGCAGACGUGGACUCGGGGGCUCAGGCAAGUGGGACAGGUGGCCUCAGGCAAAAGAACAGCAGAUCCCUUGGGGCUUCCUUGCCAAAUCUUUUCCAAGCCUGAGCUAGAGCAAGCAGGUUGAAGGUGAGGGAGCCGAGGCAGAACAGGGCAGCCGCCGUGGCCUUUAGCAGUGGUCCUGCAACUCCUCCCAGGAGGGGCAGGACAUCUGGCAGAGAGAGACCUUGCACCACUAGGUUUAGAGGUGGAGAGGUCUCUUCUUUCCUACCAUAAGUAUGUCAGUAGAACCUUGAGGCUGGAUUGGGCCCAGGGGCCAUGUAGUCUAGCAUUUUGUUCACACCAUGGCUAACCAGUUGCCUGUGGGAAGCCCACAAGGAUGGCCAUCAGGACCAGUAGCGUGCUUGAAUUGGCUUAAUCCCCUUAAAAAACCACCCACAUUGCUGGCCACGAGAACCUGUGGCAGCAGAUUCCAGAAUUUUACUACAGCCCAGCAUGCCCUCCUUCUGUCCACAUACCUUGCUUCUCCCCUUCAGCUGGUGGUGCUUCUUGUAAGCAGCCAGCCACGUUCCGAGGAUGCUGGCACGGGGGCUUGUGCAAGUCUCGCACUCCCACCCACGUGCCUCUGUUUCAUCUUGUUCCUCGUUCAAAUUAUUUGUUUGCAAUGGAUGAUCAAACGCAGGAAACUCGUGGGCUCAGGGAAAGCCUUCUGUGUGGUGCAGGAGAGCCUUAUGAAGGACUUCUGAAGGCAGUGUCUUGCUGGUGACACUUUGUGUGCACACCCAUUGUCUGGCAGAGGCCCCCUUCUGGUUGACACCAGAGAGCUUCUACCCUUCAGCGUUGCGCAGACGGCUCUGUUGCUCUUUUUAUCAGCAUCUUGGACAGGUUUGGAAAGAGGCCUGCGGUGCUGUCAUCAUUCACAGCCCUUUCUAGGCAGUGCAGCAUCAUGUGCUGCUGCUUUUUUUUUUUAUGCUCACAAUGUAUGUUUGGACUGCCAGGGAAACGUGCUAUUGAGUUGUCAUGUAUUACAAAUAUCUACAGGCAGUGCAAUAGACCAAACUAAAACUGACUUUGUUUGAAAGUUGUAGUCUGCUUUAUUUGAAUUCCUUUAAAUAAAUUGUACUUUAUUGAA